GGAACCCGGCCGACAGAAGAUGGCGGAUGAGCAGCGUGCAGGGUUUUCUCCCUGUGGCUCACUCUCUCUUACUGUGCUGGGCGGUUGCUUCCUCUCCUGCUGCCCUUGGGAGUCAGACUCCAGGUUCUUCAGCCUGUGGCCCCUGGGGCUCUCGGGCCUUGGAGGACUGACUAGGAGCACACGGUGGGCCUCUCUGGUUUGGGGGCCUGGGACGUGGCGGAGCCCUGCAGCUUCUGUGCGGCCUGUUCUGGGCGUCGCGUUGAAACGCCAGCCAGUUCCCCAAGUAAGCUCCCUGCACACACGCCUGAUAGCCUGUUGGUUCCGUCCUUCUGCGGGAUUUUCACUACCACUCUCUAACUCACACACAGCAGAAAGAGCAUACGGGAGAGAUGAAGCAGUCCACUCCAAGAACAUUCUCAUCCUACGGAUUACGAGUCCCCCUGGGAUUACAGGAGUGUUGAAGAAAUGUUGUGACACAUCAGAACACCGCGAAAUACAUGGACACUUUCAAAUCAUGGAAGACUCAAGGGUCAGGAGGGCAUCUUUCUCGGCUCUUCACUGUGAGAACCUUGUGGGAUUCCUGAAGAUGAAACCAUGAACGCGAGGGAGUCUUGCUAAAACUGCAGCAUUCGAGAGGUUUUCACUCAUGCUGGCUCACACUUGUCCUCUAGCAAUUCAUCAAAAUUACCACGUAAGUGUUUCAACAGUUUAUGGCUCAGGUGGCCUCAGCUGUGAUGCUCCAAAUUUGCCUGUUUCUCCAGAUGCAGGGUAGCAGUUUGCUGUUUCUCCUGAGUUCUUUGAUGGAUUCAAGAAAAGUCAUGAUUUUCAGUUUGUUCUGAUUUUUUCUUGUGAGGGCAAAGUAAUGACUAAGCUUUAAUGUGUUUCAGCUAAAACUACAUGUAUUUUAAUAGCAAAAUGAGAUAUAAUUCACAUGUCAUAAAAGUCACCAUUUUUGGGUGCACAACUCAUUGGAUUUUAGUAUAUUCCAGGGUUAUGCAAGAAUAAAUAUUCUCUAAUUUUGGAACAUAUUUAUCUACUCAGAAAGAAACUUUGUGCUCAUUAACAGUUACUUAAUAUUCUCUCUCCCCUAACCUAUGGUAACUACUAGUCGACUUGCUAUAGAUUAGGUUACUUUGGAUAUUUCAUAUAUGUUGAAUCAUAAAAUAUGUGCCUUGGCUUCUUUCACUUACCGUAAUAUUUACAAAAUUCAUUCAUCUUACAAAGUACUUCAUUCUAUUUUUGAUUUUAUGGGUUAAUAAUAUUCUACUGUCUGGCUAUAUACAUGUAUGAAUAAUGUGGCAACAUUUUGUCCAUACACUCAUCAUGUGAUUAGUAUUUGCUUUGUUGUUGUUGUGUGUUUUUUAUUUUUCAGUUAUUAUGAAUAAUGAUUAUGAAUUCAGUUAUUAUGAAUAACUACAAUAAAUAGUUAUGCAUAAG
Molecule: long non-coding RNA, 1437 nt
Filed under: Homo sapiens (human)
Lineage: Eukaryota; Metazoa; Chordata; Mammalia; Primates; Hominidae
Description: long intergenic non-protein coding RNA 1446
Source: RNAcentral